AGGGCUUCUGUUCCAGGAUAAUGGAUUUAAGUGUAUCUGGACUCAAGAGGAAGAUUCUAACCUGCUGCUUUCUGAAUGAUUGGAGAUUGCUGUGGCAACAUUUUGUUAAGUACCAGAAUCCCGGAGAAAUCACUGGAAGCAUGUUAUCAGAGGAACAGAUGGUUGGUGUCCCUCCUGGUCUGAAGAUGCACCCUUGAAGCUCAGAAUGCUGACUAUCCAAUCAAGAUCACACUGACUGCCACUGGAAAUAGGACGAGGACUGUACCUGAGUUCUUGAUACUCUAUCGGAGCUGUGCAACCAUCUUAUCCUCUAGUUCUAAUUUCAUUGAUGCACACCCAGAACCCAGAAUGAAAACAGAGCCUGUUCAAAGGAGAUGCUUACUGGGUCUUUGUCAAAUGCACAUACAUGAAAUCUGGAAGCAAAAUAACUUUUUCCCCACAAUGUUCUACUCAAUUUAAUUUAUGUAAAAUAAAUUUUCUUCACACAUUAAAAAA
This is a long non-coding RNA of Carlito syrichta (Philippine tarsier), 495 nucleotides long. RefSeq lists it as uncharacterized. Lineage: Eukaryota; Metazoa; Chordata; Mammalia; Primates; Tarsiidae. The transcript has 3 exons. The record is from RefSeq and is a predicted model, not a curated record.